RNAcentral lists this long non-coding RNA (207 nucleotides) under Mytilus galloprovincialis (Mediterranean mussel). Lineage: Eukaryota; Metazoa; Mollusca; Bivalvia; Mytilida; Mytilidae. The record is from RNAcentral.
GACCCCACUUUAUAUGAUUCUUACAAAUAUUUGUUGUCCAUUAAACCUGUCUAAUUAACAACAUAAUUUUGUAUAUAUUAAGGAAUGUGGUCAAAGUGAAACAAUAACAUACAUGUGUGAUAUUUGUUUUACACCCGCUGUAAAACCUUGGUGUAAAAAAUGUUCUUGUUAAUAUUCAAAGUAAGAACUUUAUCAACUAUAAUUCAA